GCAUAUAGCAAACGCCUGGAACGCCGAGAGCGGCUGCCGAUAAUCCAUAGUGAACAUGUCAUCUCCAACCUUGCCAAACUGGAGUAGCACCGUCUCCGAGUCCCCCUUCCCCUCAGGCUGGCUGGGGUCCGCUGUCGCCACCAGCUGGAAAUUCUUCACCGAGGCAACCGUCACCCUCCCAUGAAAAUUCAGGCACCAGCAUUGCAGGUGCUCGUGCCACCUAGGUGCUUUGUUCCUCAGGAUGAGGGCUCCUGCGGGGUUCUGCGCCUUCGGCUUGAGAGAGUCCUCUUCAAGGGUCUCUGACGCAGACGGGCAUUGCAGAACACAUUGCAUCCUUCUUGGACCCCUUGAUUUGAGAAGGUUGAACUUGUAGGAGAUGCGUCCGAUCUCGAAGUUACCUGCUGGGACCUGGGGGCUGAUCUGCUUGCUGGCGAACCGGCGGCUAGCUCGGCUGCUUGAUGCCUUCGCACCAUUGUAUGGUGGUCGGCUGUCGUAUGCAAUAAAG
This 505-nucleotide unclassified non-coding RNA is filed under the name Hevea brasiliensis (rubber tree). Lineage: Eukaryota; Viridiplantae; Streptophyta; Magnoliopsida; Malpighiales; Euphorbiaceae. The record is from RNAcentral.